Long non-coding RNA from Strongylocentrotus purpuratus (purple sea urchin), 1987 nucleotides. RefSeq lists it as uncharacterized. NCBI's taxonomy places the organism in Eukaryota, Metazoa, Echinodermata, Echinoidea, Camarodonta, Strongylocentrotidae. The transcript has 3 exons. The record is from RefSeq and is a predicted model, not a curated record.
UUGCAUAGCUGAAAUCAAGUUCCUCACUGCUCUACUUUGAUGUGAGCUACCCAACCUUUAUUCUAUGAUUUUGUAUUUAUUUCCACAAGAGACUUGUUGUAAAAACACUUAUGUACAUACAUUUUUACUUAUCUCACAUGUGUACAGGUAAAUAAGUGGGAUUUAAAUCAGGAAUCAAAUACAUUUCCAGUGUUUCAUUCGUUUGAUUUGAUUUAAUUUAUUUAGAUCCAUAUUUCAUACAAAGUGUGAAUGGGCCUAAUGUUGACAUGGACCUCACAGGGUACUAAACUUCGGAACCAUUCCAGGCUUCGUUGAUUGGAUGCUAUUUAUAUUCCCUGUUGUCAAGAGGACCUUCAAAGGCAGGUAGGCAAACUGUCCACUUGAAAUACACAGCUUCGUGUGGUUGUUUAUGGGAGGUGUAUUUACGGUGCUUUCAUGUUUUACAAGCAGAAAUUUAAGCAAUCUGAGGACAAGAGAGUUAGGUAUCCAGAAGGGAACAACACUGCUGAUGAGGCUUCUCCCGGCAACGGAUAUGACACUUUGUGCAUCUGAAGCUACUCUAAUGGCCAUUUCUAUACCACAGCUGAAUGCUGAAUGCAGAGAUAUGGUCUGCAAGUUAUCGCUGUUUUAUCAAAUUGAAAUCAAGUCUGAUGAUUGAGAAGGGAAUUAUUCAGUCCUGGUUGAUGGAUCAACUUUUGCUGAGUUUCUAAUUGCCCAAUCUGAUGAAUGUUCUAAGUUAAGAAGUAAGAAUAUCUAGUUGACAAAUCCAUCAGAAACAAAAGCUGGUACACAAUCAGUGCAUUACUACUACAGUGACUGUAGGAUUCAUGCCUGUGUAAAUGUCAGAGAACCAGACGACGUAUUAAUGCUAGCUGAAGAAUAGAUUGCAUUUACGCUUGCAUUUCAAAUAACUCGUUAGCUUUUAGCCAAACAAUUUCCAUCUCGAAAUGUCCUAUUGAGUUGGAUGUUAAAGGUGAAACAUUACUGGUCGUGAUAUAGAUUUCGAAAUUAUAUAACGUUCUGACAAUCACUUUUUCCUCUUUGCAGUAAGUGGAGAACUUAACUCAGAAUUUAACCAUAAUUCAAAAUGUUGAAAGUUUUGUUUCAUUCCUUGACUGGUGGAUUUAAAAUCUUAUUAUUAUUCAUUUCUAUCAUUCUCACAAAUCUUUAUGGAUGUAAAUCAACACAAUUAUCUAAAAUACAAGGGCAGGAAGUUAACUUGAUUUUCCCUUACCCAUGUGACAGUACAGAAGUCACAUUACAGCAUUCGUACAGACUCGCAUUUUAUCGCUCUAUAGAUGGGUCGUCACUGUCUUUGUCACAAGAUCAGGUACAAAGAUACAAGGUUCAGAAUAGAAAUGACACUGAGAAUUGCUCUCUGAAUUUUACAAUAAGUAAUCUAAAGAGCAUUGAUCAAGGGACAUAUAUUUUGUCUGUAUUCAAGGAUGGGGAGAUACUAGUCGAACAAACACACAGGAUUUGGCUACAGGUUGAUUAUCCUCCUGGUAAAGCAUCAUGUGUUGUGAGUGAAGAUAAGGGUGGAGACUGGGUCUCAAUACACUGUACAGCUAAUGUUGGGAGUCUAUCAGGAGAGUUUGAAUGCUAUCAGGAUGGUGUAUGGAUGCCUCCCCUAAGCGAUCCUACUCAUACCGACACUUUAUUAAAACAGACCAUUCUUAUCAGAAAGUCACAGCCAGUAUUUUGUUGCUCUUCUACUUUGGCUGAAUACAAAGAAAGAUGUGAAUGUAAGGAUACUGAUCUGUUUAUAACUGAUGAUGAUAGCAAUGAUCCUUGCCCUCCUUUAUCAGAAAUUACAACAAUGCCUCUUCCUACCACUCUCACAGAAAACAAUCAAAGUGAUUACUAUUCCACUGAGACAUCCUCCAUUCCAACUAAUAUGGAAACAUGCAACUCCAACAUAUGUGUGAUCAUUCACUCAAUUCUCUUGCCUAUUGAACUUACAUUGCUAUUCUUGAGUUUGUUUUUC